Molecule: unclassified non-coding RNA, 209 nt
Filed under: Hevea brasiliensis (rubber tree)
Lineage: Eukaryota; Viridiplantae; Streptophyta; Magnoliopsida; Malpighiales; Euphorbiaceae
Source: RNAcentral
UAAAAAUCAGAAUAACAGCAAAGGGCUGUGAGUGAAUUGGAAUGUGUGUACUCUCAGCAACAAUUAGGAAGAUAACAAGUAAUCGUGAAGAAGAAAAUACUUUUACUCCAAUAUAAAUCCUUAAUUUCUGAAAGCAUGUCACGAGAAAGAGAAGCAGCAAAAAAGACAAUUGCCAAGCAAGAUGAGUCACAAACCUUUGGCAACAGAAG